AGCAGAAAUUCCAAUCUCUAUUCAAAGAAUUCACAGCAUCUCGAACUUUCUUCUUGAGCACUCCUUGACCAGCUUCGUUACAUAGCACUGAUGUUGGGAAGUUCAUUUUGAUUCUGAAUACACGCUGCGCUGGUGUGGCACCUGAGCAACAGAUAUAACAGUAUGAUACAUGAAUUAGAACAACAAAUGAAAAAGAAAAAUACGAGAAGCAAUUUAACGUUAAACUUACUUGUACAAGCUGGAUAGAUGAGAGGAAGGGACGGAUCGUUGGUUGGUCUCCAGAAUCCUUCAGCUCCGCAGAUAACUAAGACAAGGUACUUACUAAGCAGGAAGAGAUCUUCCACUUCCAUAACCUUCCGUCUUGCUGGCAAUUAGACCCUCUGUUAUUAAGACCAAUUCUCCACCGUUUUCACCAUUCCAAACUACAGCAACGUGAUGCCACUGGCCAUCGUUAAUCGUUGCAUACUCUCUGAAUGGCAGAUAAACAUCUUGCAGAUCGUGGAAUAACGACACUUGGACUCCAUUGCUGUGUGCCUGGAUCAUAAGUCUUCUAUUUAUAGGAACGUGUGGAGAGCUGAA
This 579-nucleotide unclassified non-coding RNA is filed under the name Bombus terrestris (buff-tailed bumblebee). Its description in RNAcentral is "misc RNA ENSBTSG00005025329.1". Lineage: Eukaryota; Metazoa; Arthropoda; Insecta; Hymenoptera; Apidae. The record is from RNAcentral.